UACGAAGGGGGCUAGCGUUGUUCGGAAUUACUGGGCGUAAAGGGCGCGUAGGCGGUUCGUUAAGUCCUGUGUGAAAUCCCCCGGCUCAACUGGGGAACUGCACAGGAAACUAGCGGGCUUGAGUGCGGGAGAGGAGAGCGGAAUUCCUGGUGUAGCGGUGAAAUGCGUAGAUAUCAGGAGGAACACCGGCGGUGUAGACGGCUCUCUGGACCGUAACUGACGCUGAGAUACGAAAGCGUGGGUAGCAAACAGG
This 253-nucleotide ribosomal RNA is filed under the name uncultured bacterium. RNAcentral's name for it is "partial 16S ribosomal RNA". It matches the Rfam family "Bacterial small subunit ribosomal RNA", at positions 524 to 776 of the family's 1533-position model. The record is from RNAcentral.